GACGAACGCUGGCGGCGUGCUUAACACAUGCAAGUCGAACGCUGAAGCCCAGCUUUUGUUGGGUGGAUGAGUGGCGAACGGGUGAGUAACACGUGAGUAACCUGCCCCCUUCUUUGGGAUAACGCCCGGAAACGGGUGCUAAUACUGGAUAUUCACUGGUCUUCGCAUGGGGGUUGGUGGAAAGGGUUUUUCUGGUGGGGGAUGGGCUCGCGGCCUAUCAGCUUGUUGGUGGGGUGAUGGCCUACCAAGGCUUUGACGGGUAGCCGGCCUGAGAGGGUGACCGGUCACAUUGGGACUGAGAUACGGCCCAGACUCCUACGGGAGGCAGCAGUGGGGAAUAUUGCACAAUGGGCGCAAGCCUGAUGCAGCGACGCCGCGUGAGGGAUGGAGGCCUUCGGGUUGUGAACCUCUUUCGCUCAUGGUCAAGCCGCAACAAUGGUUGUGGUGAGGGUAGUGGGUAAAGAAGCGCCGGCUAACUACGUG
RNAcentral lists this ribosomal RNA (483 nucleotides) under uncultured bacterium. RNAcentral's name for it is "partial 16S ribosomal RNA". It matches the Rfam family "Bacterial small subunit ribosomal RNA", at positions 28 to 507 of the family's 1533-position model. The record is from RNAcentral.